CCUACGGGCGGCUGCAGUGAGGAAUAUUGGUCAAUGGGCGGGAGCCUGAACCAGCCAAGUCGCGUGAGGGAAGACGGUCCUAUGGAUUGUAAACCUCUUUAGGCGGGGAGCAAUGCCGGGCACGUGUGCCCGGAGGGAGAGUACCCGCCGAAUAAGCAUCGGAUAACUCCGUGCCAGCAGCCGCGGUAAUCCGGGGGCUGCGAGCGUUAUCCGGUUUGAUUGGGUUUAAGGGGUGCGUAGGCGGAUUUUUAAGUAAGCGGUAAAAUGUCGGGGCUCACCCCGGGCCGGCCGUUGAAACUGGGGGUCUUGAGUGGGCGAGAAGUAUGCGGAAUGCGUGGUGUAGCGGUGAAAUGCAUAGAUAUCGCGCAGAACUCCGAUUGUGAAGGCAGCAUACCGGCGCCCGACUGACGCUGAGGCACGAAAGCGUGGGGAUCGAACAGGAUUAGAUACCCGGGUAGUC
Molecule: ribosomal RNA, 460 nt
Filed under: uncultured bacterium
Lineage: Bacteria
Description: partial 16S ribosomal RNA
Rfam family: Bacterial small subunit ribosomal RNA
Source: RNAcentral